This 230-nucleotide ribosomal RNA is filed under the name uncultured bacterium. RNAcentral's name for it is "partial 16S ribosomal RNA". It matches the Rfam family "Bacterial small subunit ribosomal RNA", at positions 335 to 555 of the family's 1533-position model. The record is from RNAcentral.
ACUCCUACGGGAGGCAGCAGUGGGGAAUAUUGGGACAAAUGGGCGAAAGCCCUGAUCCAGCCAUGCCGCGUGUGUGAAGAAGGCCCUCGGGUUGUAAAGCACUUUCAGCGAGGAAGAACGCCUAGUGGUUAAUACCAUCAUGGAAGACAUCACUCGCAGAAGAAGCACCGGCUAACUCCGUGCCAGCAGCCGCGGUAAUACGGAGGGUGCAAGCGUUAAUCGGAAUUACU